GACGAACGCUGGCGGCGUGCUUAACACAUGCAAGUCGAACGGAAAGGCCCUGCUUUUGUGGGGUGCUCGAGUGGCGAACGGGUGAGUAACACGUGAGUAACCUGCCCUUGACUUGGGGAUAACUUCAGGAAACUGGGGCUAAUACCGGAUAGGAGCUCCUGCUGCAUGGGGGGGGUUGGAAAGCUUCGGCGGUUGGGGUUGGACUGGGGGGUUAUGGGCUUGUUGGUGGGGUAGUGGCUUACCAUGGCUUUGACGGGUAGCCGGCCUGAGGGGGUGACCGGCCACAUUGGGACUGCGAUAGGGCCCAGACUGCAACGGGGGGCAGCAGUGGGGAAUAUUGUCCAGUGGGGGGAAGCGUGAUGAAGAAGCGCUGCGUGCGGGAUGACGGCCUUCGGGUUGUAAACCGCUUUCGCCUGUGACGAAGCGUGAGUGACGGUAAUGGGUAAAGAAGCACCGGCUAACUACGUG
RNAcentral lists this ribosomal RNA (468 nucleotides) under uncultured bacterium. Its description in RNAcentral is "partial 16S ribosomal RNA". It matches the Rfam family "Bacterial small subunit ribosomal RNA", at positions 28 to 507 of the family's 1533-position model. The record is from RNAcentral.